UAGGUAGAGAAUACCAAGGCGAUCGAGUGAAUCGUGGUUAAGGAAUUCGGCAAAAUACCCCCGUAACUUCGGGAGAAGGGGGGCCCUGAUCGUGAUCCCACUUGCUGGGUGAGCGUGAUCGGCCGCAGAGACCAGGGAGGAGCGACUGUUUACUAAAAACACAGGUCCGUGCGAAGUCGCAAGACGAUGUAUACGGACUGACGCCUGCCCGGUGCUGGAACGUUAAGGGGACCGGUUAGUACGUAAGUGCGAAGCUGAGAACUUAAGCGCCAGUAAACGGCGGUGGUAACUAUAACCAUCCUAAGGUAGCGAAAUUCCUUGUCGGGUAAGUUCCGACCUGCACGAAUGGCGUAACGACUUCUCCACUGUCUCAACCACGAACUCGGCGAAAUUGCACUACGAGUAAAGAUGCUCGUUACGCGCAGCAGGACGGAAAGACCCCGGGACCUUUACUACAGCUUGGUAUUGGUGUUCGGUACGGCUUGUGUAGGAUAGGUGGGAGACUGUGAAGCGCUCACGUCAGUGGGUGUGGAGUCAACGUUGAAAUACCACUCUGGUCGUUCUGGAUAUCUAACCUCGGUCCGUGAUCCGGAUCAGGGACAGUGCCUGGUGGGUAGUUUAACUGGGGCGGUUGCCUCCUAAAAAGUAACGGAGGCGCCCAAAGGUUCCCUCAGCCUGGUUGGUAAUCAGGUUUUGAGUGUAAGUGCACAAGGGAGCUUGACUGUGAGACAGGCAUGUCGAGCAGGGACGAAAGUCGGGACUAGUGAUCCGGCGGUGGCUUGUGGAAGCGCCGUCGCUCAACGGAUAAAAGGUACCCCGGGGAUAACAGGCUGAUCUUGCCCAAGAGUCCAUAUCGACGGCAUGGUUUGGCACCUCGAUGUCGGCUCGUCGCAUCCUGGGGCUGGAGUAGGUCCCAAGGGUUGGGCUGUUCGCCCAUUAAAGCGGUACGCGAGCUGGGUUUAGAACGUCGUGAGACAGUUCGGUCCCUAUCCGCUGUGCGCGUAGGAAACUUGAGAAAGGCUGUCCCUAGUACGAGAGGACCGGGAUGGACGAACCUCUGGUGUGUCAGUUGUUCUGCCAAGGGCACCGCUGAUUAGCUACGUUCGGAAGUGAUAACCGCUGAAAGCAUCUAAGCGGGAAGCACGUUUCAAGAUGAGGUUUCCAGGCCCGCGAGGGCGAGAGGCUCCCAGCUAGACCACUGGGUUGAUAGGCCGGACGUGGAAGCACAGUAAUGUGUGGAGCUGACCGGUACUAAUAAGCCGAUAACUUG
This 1270-nucleotide ribosomal RNA is filed under the name metagenome. RNAcentral describes it as "bacterial LSU rRNA". It matches the Rfam family "Bacterial large subunit ribosomal RNA", at positions 1668 to 2925 of the family's 2925-position model. The record is from RNAcentral.